UACAGAGGGUGCAAGCGUUGUUCGGAAUUACUGGGCGUAAAGCGCACGUAGGCGGCUCUUUAAGUCGGGGGUGAAAUCCUGGAGCUCAACUCCAGAACUGCCUUCGAUACUGUAGAGCUUGAGUUCGGGAGAGGUGAGUGGAACUGCGAGUGUAGAGGUGAAAUUCGUAGAUAUUCGCAAGAACACCAGUGGCGAAGGCGGCUCACUGGCCCGAUACUGACGCUGAGGUGCGAAAGCGUGGGGAGCAAACAGG
This 253-nucleotide ribosomal RNA is filed under the name uncultured bacterium. RNAcentral's name for it is "partial 16S ribosomal RNA". It matches the Rfam family "Bacterial small subunit ribosomal RNA", at positions 524 to 776 of the family's 1533-position model. The record is from RNAcentral.